RNAcentral lists this ribosomal RNA (460 nucleotides) under uncultured bacterium. RNAcentral describes it as "partial 16S ribosomal RNA". It matches the Rfam family "Bacterial small subunit ribosomal RNA", at positions 338 to 795 of the family's 1533-position model. The record is from RNAcentral.
CCUACGGGUGGCAGCAGUGAGGAAUAUUGGUCAAUGGACGAGAGUCUGAACCAGCCAAGUAGCGUGAAGGAUGACUGCCCUAUGGGUUGUAAACUUCUUUUAUAUGGGAAUAAAACGUUCCACGUGUGGGAUUUUGUAUGUACCAUAUGAAUAAGGAUCGGCUAACUCAGUGCCAGCAGCCGCGGUAAUACGGAGGAUCCGAGCGUUAUCCGGAUUUAUUGGGUUUAAAGGGAGCGUAGGUGGAUUGUUAAGUCAGUUGUGAAAGUUUGGGGCUCAACCGUAAAAUUGCAGUUGAAACUGGCAGUCUUGAGUACAGUAGAGGUGGGCGGAAUUCGUGGUGUAGCGGUGAAAUGCGUAGAGAUCACGAAGAAUUCCGAUUGCGAAGGCAGUUCACUGGACUGAAACUGACACUGAGGCUCGAAAGUGUGGGUAUCAAACAGGAUUAGAUACCCGAGUAGUC